UGCUACCACCUAAGAUUGUGUUUACAACUCUAAUAGAGAUAUGUGAAGCAAGUUUGUGUAUGCAAUUUAAUAUUUUUUUUAUCCUGCUUAAUUGUUGUGGAGGUGAUUGUCAUUGUUUGGCCACUGCAUUGCUGUAGCACUUGGAUAUGAGGUCUUGUUUGCUUUUUUUGCAAUGUAUCUGUUUUGGGGUUGAUAUACAUAAAAAUGGUGCUUGCUGUGUUAUGUAAUCUUUCUAUGGAUUUUACUGUUUUAUAUUUUUUCUAUGAUAGUGGUCAUCGUGGCAAGCAAUUUCUGACACUUUGUGGUAAUAAGUACUGCAGGGAAAAUAAAAAUUUG
RNAcentral lists this unclassified non-coding RNA (336 nucleotides) under Hevea brasiliensis (rubber tree). Lineage: Eukaryota; Viridiplantae; Streptophyta; Magnoliopsida; Malpighiales; Euphorbiaceae. The record is from RNAcentral.